This is a small RNA of Bordetella avium 197N, 87 nucleotides long. It matches the Rfam family "sRNA-Xcc1". NCBI's taxonomy places the organism in Bacteria, Pseudomonadati, Pseudomonadota, Betaproteobacteria, Burkholderiales, Alcaligenaceae. The record is from Rfam.
GGCCGGGAGGGCGACGGAUACAACACCCGAAAGGGAAAGAAGUCCGCUCGACUGCUUUCGAGUUCUUAACCUCCCGGCCACCUUGCU